GUUCCGAUCAGUCAGCAAAUACAAACCGAAUCGAAUUGAUCAUAUCCGGUUCGAUUCGGGUCAAGUUUGGGUUAUAACGGAAAAUAGCCUUCUUCUCCUACGCCAAAUUGCCCUCCCCGCGGGCCGCAACCGCUCUCUCAGUCUUCAUCUUCAGCCGCACUCUCUCAAAUCGACGCCGGACUCUCGGACGGCCGGCAAAGCAAUGGCCCUCCCCACUCGGCUUUUUACUUCUUCCUUCCGCCGGAGGUUCUGCAAUUCAGUUGGCAUGGUGGGGAUUUGAUGCAAUUUCUAUGCGAUUUUAGAGAUAAAUCUACUAAUAACGUAAGGACUGGAUUUUUAUUCAAAAACAGUGUUGUGUUGAGGUGUGUAAUUCAAAAACUAUGCAAACUUGUGGAAGUAGACGACGGAAUUGGUUGAAGAGGAAUGGAUUCUUGUUCAAUAAAUUCAAUUUAGUUGGAAACUCCAAAUGGCCGCAGUGGGGAUGCGGACGGUGAUGUUAAGAGUGAAGAAAAGGAUGUAGUUUUAGAAGAUGAUAUCCAGAACGAAGAGAAAGAAAAUGAUUCUGAAGGUGAAGAUGCUGAAUUUGAUGUUACCAGAUUAAGAAAAUUUGAUAUUAGUAUUAACAUAGAUUUUCCAUAAUUUUAUGCUAUGUAGUUGCAAAACUUGAGUUCAAAUUUGGAUUGGAGAUGAGAAGCUAUAUCUGUUCUCCAUCUUUCUUGAGCGUCUACUUUCAAAUAUGGUUUAUUUAUACUUCAUCUAUAUGAAUUUUAUAUUAUGCUACAUAUUAAAUAAUAAUUAUGCCAAA
Molecule: non-coding RNA, 805 nt
Organism: Momordica charantia (bitter melon)
Lineage: Eukaryota; Viridiplantae; Streptophyta; Magnoliopsida; Cucurbitales; Cucurbitaceae
Source: RefSeq, a predicted model, not a curated record